AUUGAACGCUGGCGGCAUGCCUUACACAUGCAAGUCGAACGGCAGCACGGGAGCAAUCCUGGUGGCGAGUGGCGAACGGGUGAGUAAUAUAUCGGAACGUGCCCAGUCGUGGGGAUAACGUAGCGAAAGCUACGCUAAUACCGCAUACGAUCUAUGGAUGAAAGCGGGGGAUCGCAAGACCUCGCGUGAUUGGAGCGGCCGAUAUCAGAUUAGGUAGUUGGUGAGGUAAAGGCUCACCAAGCCGACGAUCUGUAGCUGGUCUGAGAGGACGACCAGCCACACUGGGACUGAGACACGGCCCAGACUCCUACGGGAGGCAGCAGUGAGGAAUAUUGGACAAUGGGCGCAAGCCUGAUCCAGCCAUGCCGCGUGCAGGAAUAAGGUCCUAUGGAUUGUAAACUGCUUUUAUACUAGGAAGAAACACACCCUCGUGAGGGUACUUGACGGUACUGUAUGAAUAAGGA
Molecule: ribosomal RNA, 464 nt
Filed under: uncultured bacterium
Lineage: Bacteria
Description: bacterial SSU rRNA
Rfam family: Bacterial small subunit ribosomal RNA
Source: RNAcentral